This 125-nucleotide ribosomal RNA is filed under the name Ruminococcus sp. AF31-14BH. RNAcentral's name for it is "partial 16S ribosomal RNA". It matches the Rfam family "Bacterial small subunit ribosomal RNA", at positions 1 to 106 of the family's 1533-position model. Lineage: Bacteria; Bacillati; Bacillota; Clostridia; Eubacteriales; Oscillospiraceae. The record is from RNAcentral.
UUUUAACGAGAGUUUGAUCCUGGCUCAGGAUGAACGCUGGCGGCGUGCUUAACACAUGCAAGUCGAACGAAGCACCUUGAUUUGAUUCUUCGGAUGAAGAUCUUGGUGACUGAGUGGCGGACGGG